Molecule: transfer RNA, 88 nt
Filed under: Clostridium sp.
Lineage: Bacteria; Bacillati; Bacillota; Clostridia; Eubacteriales; Clostridiaceae
Description: tRNA-Leu
Rfam family: tRNA
About the family: Transfer RNA (tRNA) molecules are approximately 80 nucleotides in length.
Source: RNAcentral
GCAGAUGUGGCGGAACUGGCAGACGCACUACCUUGAGGUGGUAGCGGGUAAUACACCUGUAUGGGUUCGAAUCCCUUCAUCUGCACCA